CCUACGGGGGGUUGCAGUGGGGAAUAUUGGACAAUGGGCGAAAGCCUGAUCCAGCCAUGCCGCGUGUGUGAAGAAGGCCUUCGGGUUGUAAAGCACUUUCAGUGGGGAAGAAAGCCUUGGGGCUAAUACCCUCGAGGAAGGACAUCACCCACAGAAGAAGCACCGGCUAACUCCGUGCCAGCAGCCGCGGUAAUACGGAGGGUGCGAGCGUUAAUCGGAAUUACUGGGCGUAAAGCGCGCGUAGGCGGUCUGAUAAGCCGGUUGUGAAAGCCCCGGGCUCAACCUGGGAACGGCAUCCGGAACUGUCAGGCUAGAGUGCAGGAGAGGAAGGUAGAAUUCCCGGUGUAGCGGUGAAAUGCGUAGAGAUCGGGAGGAAUACCAGUGGCGAAGGCGGCCUUCUGGACUGACACUGACGCUGAGGUGCGAAAGCGUGGGUAGCAAACAGGAUUAGAUACCCGAGUGUC
Molecule: ribosomal RNA, 464 nt
Filed under: Vreelandella stevensii
Lineage: Bacteria; Pseudomonadati; Pseudomonadota; Gammaproteobacteria; Oceanospirillales; Halomonadaceae
Description: partial 16S ribosomal RNA
Rfam family: Bacterial small subunit ribosomal RNA
Source: RNAcentral